RNAcentral lists this ribosomal RNA (254 nucleotides) under uncultured bacterium. RNAcentral describes it as "partial 16S ribosomal RNA". It matches the Rfam family "Bacterial small subunit ribosomal RNA", at positions 524 to 776 of the family's 1533-position model. The record is from RNAcentral.
UACAGAGGUCUCAAGCGUUGUUCGGAUUCAUUGGGCGUAAAGGGCGCGUAGGCGGUCGUGACAAGUCACUUGUGAAAUCUCCGGGCUUAACUCGGAACGGUCAAGUGAUACUGUCGGACUAGAGUGCAGAAGGGGCAACUGGAAUUCUCGGUGUAGCGGUGAAAUGCGUAGAUAUCGAGAGGAACACCUGCGGCGAAGGCGGGUUGCUGGGCUGACACUGACGCUGAGGCGCGAAAGCCAGGGGAGCGAACGGG